RNAcentral lists this transfer RNA (71 nucleotides) under Paracoccaceae bacterium. Its description in RNAcentral is "Rhodobacteraceae bacterium (freshwater metagenome) tRNA-Gly". It matches the Rfam family "tRNA". Rfam says of the family: Transfer RNA (tRNA) molecules are approximately 80 nucleotides in length. Their secondary structure includes four short double-helical elements and three loops (D, anti-codon, and T loops). The record is from RNAcentral. Lineage: Bacteria; Pseudomonadati; Pseudomonadota; Alphaproteobacteria; Rhodobacterales; Paracoccaceae.
GCGGCUGUGGUAUAGGGGUUGUGCCCGAGGCUUCCAUCCUCGUGAGGCUGGUUCGAAUCCAGUCAGCCGCU